UACGUAGGGGCAAGCGUUAUCCGGAUUUACUGGGUGUAAAGGGAGCGCAGACGGCAGUGCAAGUCUGAUGUGAAAGCCCGGGGCUCAACCCCGGAACUGCAUUGGAAACUGUACAGCUUGAGUGUCGUAGAGGUAAGCGGAAUUCCUAGUGUAGCGGUGAAAUGCGUAGAUAUUAGGAGGAACACCGGUGGCGAAGGCGGCUUACUGGACGAUUACUGACGUUGAGGCUCGAAAGCGUGGGGAGCAAACAGGAUUAGAUACCCCUGUAGUCCCU
This 274-nucleotide ribosomal RNA is filed under the name uncultured prokaryote. RNAcentral's name for it is "partial 16S ribosomal RNA". It matches the Rfam family "Bacterial small subunit ribosomal RNA", at positions 524 to 798 of the family's 1533-position model. The record is from RNAcentral.